CCUACGGGUGGCAGCAGUGGGGAAUAUUGGACAAUGGGCGAAAGCCUGAUCCAGCCAUGCCGCGUGUGUGAAGAAGGCCUUCGGGUUGUAAAGCACUUUCAGUGGGGAAGAAAGCCUUGGGGUUAAUACCCUCGAGGAAGGACAUCACCCACAGAAGAAGCACCGGCUAACUCCGUGCCAGCAGCCGCGGUAAUACGGAGGGUGCGAGCGUUAAUCGGAAUUACUGGGCGUAAAGCGCGCGUAGGCGGUCUGAUAAGCCGGUUGUGAAAGCCCCGGGCUCAACCUGGGAACGGCAUCCGGAACUGUCAGGCUAGAGUGCAGGAGAGGAAGGUAGAAUUCCCGGUGUAGCGGUGAAAUGCGUAGAGAUCGGGAGGAAUACCAGUGGCGAAGGCGGCCUUCUGGACUGACACUGACGCUGAGGUGCGAAAGCGUGGGUAGCAAACAGGAUUAGAUACCCUGGUAGUC
This 465-nucleotide ribosomal RNA is filed under the name Vreelandella stevensii. RNAcentral's name for it is "partial 16S ribosomal RNA". It matches the Rfam family "Bacterial small subunit ribosomal RNA", at positions 338 to 795 of the family's 1533-position model. The record is from RNAcentral. Lineage: Bacteria; Pseudomonadati; Pseudomonadota; Gammaproteobacteria; Oceanospirillales; Halomonadaceae.